Long non-coding RNA from Vigna angularis (adzuki bean), 601 nucleotides. RefSeq lists it as uncharacterized. NCBI's taxonomy places the organism in Eukaryota, Viridiplantae, Streptophyta, Magnoliopsida, Fabales, Fabaceae. The transcript has 2 exons. The record is from RefSeq and is a predicted model, not a curated record.
AUUGGCUGAGAAAUUAAAAUAAUUCCACUGUUCAAUGUGUAUGAGGUUAAAAGAAAGCAGUAGAGUCCUGAGUGUAAACAGUGACCCCAACAAGAUGACAAGGGACCCAAAGGUUCUCUUUUGGGAUGGAACUGAACUUCUCCAUGCUUAUCCCUUCCUACACAGAAGUCUUUAUUGGUGGACCCCUUUUGUGGCAGACUAAUAUCCUGAUCUCAGAAGAGAAGGCCCACUUCAGUGAUUGCUGACGAUGGCCUGCUUCUGGUUUAGAUUUUGCAUUUUGAUGGAGUGGACCUUUUCUUCCUGGGUAGAUUCAUUCAUACCUUUGUCAAUCAAUCCUCUCCUACCUAUAAUUCUUAGACCAUCACCUCAGGGCUUUUUUCUUACAUGCACAAAUGCAGCUAGCUCUUUUAUACCCUCAACACUCACUGCAUAAUAGAAUGAUGAAAUAACAAGUAUGUAUAUGUUUGAGGAAAUGAUGAAAGAGGUAGAAUGAAUGAAUGAUAUAAAUAAAAUGGAGUUUGGUCCCUAAGCAAGCAAAGACAAAUUAGACAUUGUGUAGUACAUAACAUGUGCGGUGGGAAUCUACUUUUGCUUUUGUUUC